RNAcentral lists this non-coding RNA (26 nucleotides) under Rattus norvegicus (Norway rat). The record is from RNAcentral. Lineage: Eukaryota; Metazoa; Chordata; Mammalia; Rodentia; Muridae.
UAGCACAAUUGAAAUCCCCCCAUUUC